UACGGGGGGAGGAAGCGUUGUUCGGAAUUACUGGGCGUAAAGGGCGCGUAGGCGGUUGCCUAAGUCGGACGUGAAAUCCCCAAGCUUAACUUGGGAACUGCAUCUGAUAGUGGGUGACUUGAGUUCGGGAGAGGAAUGUGGAAUUCCAGGUGUAGCGGUGAAAUGCGUAGAUAUCUGGAGGAACACCGGUGGCGAAGGCGGCAUUCUGGACCGAAACUGACGCUGAGGAGCGAAAGCAUGGGGAGCGAACAGG
This 253-nucleotide ribosomal RNA is filed under the name uncultured bacterium. RNAcentral's name for it is "partial 16S ribosomal RNA". It matches the Rfam family "Bacterial small subunit ribosomal RNA", at positions 524 to 776 of the family's 1533-position model. The record is from RNAcentral.